UGUCUCUUGUGUGUAUGGUA
RNAcentral lists this non-coding RNA (20 nucleotides) under Arabidopsis thaliana (thale cress). The record is from RNAcentral. Lineage: Eukaryota; Viridiplantae; Streptophyta; Magnoliopsida; Brassicales; Brassicaceae.